AUUGAACGCUGGCGGCAUGCCUUACACAUGCCAGUCGAACGGCAGCACGGGUGCUUGCACCUGGUGGCGAGUGGCGAACGGGUGAGUAAUACAUCGGAACAUGUCCUGUAGUGGGGGAUAGCCCGGCGAAAGCCGGAUUAAUACCGCAUACGAUCUACGGAUGAAAGCGGGGGACCUUCGGGCCUCGCGCUAUAGGGUUGGCCGAUGGCGGAUUAGCUAGUUGGUGGGGUAAAGGCCUACCAAGGCGACGAUCAGUAGCUGGUCUGAGAGUACGACCAGCCACACUGGGACUGAGACACGGCCCAGACUCCUACGGGGGGCAGCAGUGGGGAAUUUUGGACAAUGGGCGAAAGCCUGAUCCAGCAAUGCCGCGUGUGUGAAGAAGGCCUUCGGGUUGUAAAACACUUUUGUCCGGAAAGAAAUCUUUGGCCCUAAUACGGUCGGGGGAUGACGGUACCGGAAGAAUAAGCACCGGCUAACUACGUG
This 486-nucleotide ribosomal RNA is filed under the name uncultured bacterium. RNAcentral's name for it is "partial 16S ribosomal RNA". It matches the Rfam family "Bacterial small subunit ribosomal RNA", at positions 30 to 507 of the family's 1533-position model. The record is from RNAcentral.